Molecule: ribosomal RNA, 446 nt
Filed under: uncultured bacterium
Lineage: Bacteria
Description: partial 16S ribosomal RNA
Rfam family: Bacterial small subunit ribosomal RNA
Source: RNAcentral
UCCAGACUCCUACGGGAGGCAGCAGUGGGGGAUAUUGCACAAUGGGGGGAACCCUGAUGCAGCGACGCCGCGUGGGUGAAGGAGCGUUUCGGCGCGUAAAGCCCUCUCGGCAGGGAAGAAGGAGGACGGUACCUGACUAAGAAGCCCCGGCUAACUACGUGCCAGCAGCCGCGGUAAUACGUAGGGGGCAAGCGUUAUCCUGAUUUACUGGGUGUAAAGGGGGCGCAGACGGCAGCGCAAGCCAGGAGUGAAAGCCCGGGGCCCAACCCCGGGACUGCUCUUGGAACUGCGCGGCUGGAGUGCAGGAGGGGCAGGCGGAAUUCCUGGUGUAGCGGUGAAAUGCGUAGAUAUCAGGAGGAACACCGGUGUCGAAGGCGGCCUGCUGGACUGCGACUGACGUUGAGGCCCGAAAGCGUGGGGAGCAAACAGGAUUAGAUACCCGGGUA